AAGUCGAACGCACUCUCGUUUAGAUUGAAGGAGCUUGCUCCUGAUUGAUAAACAUUUGAGUGAGUGGCGGACGGGUGAGUAACACGUGGGUAACCUGCCCUAAAGUGGGGGAUAACAUUUGGAAACAGAUGCUAAUACCGCAUAAAACCUAACACCGCAUGGUGUAGGGUUGAAAGAUGGUUUCGGCUAUCACUUUAGGAUGGACCCGCGGUGCAUUAGUUAGUUGGUGAGGUAAAGGCUCACCAAGACCGUGAUGCAUAGCCGACCUGAGAGGGUAAUCGGCCACACUGGGACUGAGACACGGCCCAGACUCCUACGGGAGGCAGCAGUAGGGAAUCUUCCACAAUGGACGAAAGUCUGAUGGAGCAACGCCGCGUGAGUGAAAAAGGUUUUCGGAUCGUAAAACUCUGUUGUUGGAGAAGAAUGUAUCUGAUAGUAACUGAUCAGGUAGUGACGGUAUCCAACCAGAAAGCCACGGCUAACUACGUGCCAGCAGCCGCGGUAAUACGUAGGUGGCAAGCGUUGUCCGGAUUUAUUGGGCGUAAAGCGAGCGCAGGCGGUUUCUUAAGUCUGAUGUGAAAGCCUUCGGCUCAACCGAAGAAGUGCAUCGGAAACUGGGAAACUUGAGUGCAGAAGAGGACAGUGGAACUCCAUGUGUAGCGGUGAAUGCGUAGAUAUAUGGAAGAACACCAGUGGCGAAGGCGGCUGUCUGGUCUGUAACUGACG
Molecule: ribosomal RNA, 726 nt
Filed under: uncultured Bacilli bacterium
Lineage: Bacteria; Bacillati; Bacillota; Bacilli
Description: bacterial SSU rRNA
Rfam family: Bacterial small subunit ribosomal RNA
Source: RNAcentral